GUUCUUAUAGUUGAAUAACAACGGUGGUUUUUCAAGCCAUUAGUCCUAGUUAGAGUCUUGGUAAGAACU
Molecule: transfer RNA, 69 nt
Filed under: Moolgarda crenilabis (fringelip mullet)
Lineage: Eukaryota; Metazoa; Chordata; Actinopteri; Mugiliformes; Mugilidae
Description: Crenimugil crenilabis (fringelip mullet) tRNA-Glu
Rfam family: tRNA
About the family: Transfer RNA (tRNA) molecules are approximately 80 nucleotides in length. Their secondary structure includes four short double-helical elements and three loops (D, anti-codon, and T loops).
Source: RNAcentral